RNAcentral lists this transfer RNA (72 nucleotides) under Pseudomonadota bacterium. RNAcentral describes it as "Proteobacteria bacterium tRNA-His". It matches the Rfam family "tRNA". Rfam says of the family: Transfer RNA (tRNA) molecules are approximately 80 nucleotides in length. Their secondary structure includes four short double-helical elements and three loops (D, anti-codon, and T loops). Lineage: Bacteria; Pseudomonadati; Pseudomonadota. The record is from RNAcentral. RNAcentral also lists the same sequence under 1 other name.
GUGAGAAUAGUUCAAUGGUAGAGCACCGGUUUGUGGUACCGGUUGUUGCGGGUUCGAAUCCCGUUUCUCACC